CCUACGGGUGGCAGCAGUGAGGAAUAUUGGUCAAUGGACGAGAGUCUGAACCAGCCAAGUAGCGUGAAGGAUGACUGCCCUAUGGGUUGUAAACUUCUUUUAUAUGGGAAUAAAACGUUCCACGUGUGGGAUUUUGUAUGUACCAUAUGAAUAAGGAUCGGCUAACUCCGUGCCAGCAGCCGCGGUAAUACGGAGGAUCCGAGCGUUAUCCGGAUUUAUUGGGUUUAAAGGGAGCGUAGGUGGAUUGUUAAGUCAGUUGUGAAAGUUUGUGACUCAACCGUAAAAUUGCAGUUGAAACUGGCAGUCUUGAGUACAGUAGAGGUGGGCGGAAUUCGUGGUGUAGCGGUGAAAUGCUUAGAUAUCACGAAGAACUCCGAUUGCGAAGGCAGUUCACUGGACUGCAACUGACACUGAGGCUCGAAAGUGUGGGUAUCAAACAGGAUUAGAUACCCUGGUAGUC
This 460-nucleotide ribosomal RNA is filed under the name uncultured bacterium. RNAcentral's name for it is "partial 16S ribosomal RNA". It matches the Rfam family "Bacterial small subunit ribosomal RNA", at positions 338 to 795 of the family's 1533-position model. The record is from RNAcentral.